RNAcentral lists this ribosomal RNA (730 nucleotides) under Bacillus thuringiensis. RNAcentral's name for it is "bacterial SSU rRNA". It matches the Rfam family "Bacterial small subunit ribosomal RNA", at positions 56 to 766 of the family's 1533-position model. The record is from RNAcentral. Lineage: Bacteria; Bacillati; Bacillota; Bacilli; Caryophanales; Bacillaceae.
UGCAAGUCGAGCGAAUGGAUUAAGAGCUUGCUCUUAUGAAGUUAGCGGCGGACGGGUGAGUAACACGUGGGUAACCUGCCCAUAAGACUGGGAUAACUCCGGGAAACCGGGGCUAAUACCGGAUAACAUUUUGAACCGCAUGGUUCGAAAUUGAAAGGCGGCUUCGGCUGUCACUUAUGGAUGGACCCGCGUCGCAUUAGCUAGUUGGUGAGGUAACGGCUCACCAAGGCAACGAUGCGUAGCCGACCUGAGAGGGUGAUCGGCCACACUGGGACUGAGACACGGCCCAGACUCCUACGGGAGGCAGCAGUAGGGAAUCUUCCGCAAUGGACGAAAGUCUGACGGAGCAACGCCGCGUGAGUGAUGAAGGCUUUCGGGUCGUAAAACUCUGUUGUUAGGGAAGAACAAGUGCUAGUUGAAUAAGCUGGCACCUUGACGGUACCUAACCAGAAAGCCACGGCUAACUACGUGCCAGCAGCCGCGGUAAUACGUAGGUGGCAAGCGUUAUCCGGAAUUAUUGGGCGUAAAGCGCGCGCAGGUGGUUUCUUAAGUCUGAUGUGAAAGCCCACGGCUCAACCGUGGAGGGUCAUUGGAAACUGGGAGACUUGAGUGCAGAAGAGGAAAGUGGAAUUCCAUGUGUAGCGGUGAAAUGCGUAGAGAUAUGGAGGAACACCAGUGGCGAAGGCGACUUUCUGGUCUGUAACUGACACUGAGGCGCGAAAGCGUGGGG